Molecule: ribosomal RNA, 408 nt
Filed under: uncultured bacterium
Lineage: Bacteria
Description: partial 16S ribosomal RNA
Rfam family: Bacterial small subunit ribosomal RNA
Source: RNAcentral
GACGAACGCUGGCGGCGUGCUUAACACAUGCAAGUCGAACGAAGUGGCGCACGGGUGAGUAACGCGUAAUCAACCUGCCCUUCAGAGGGGGACAACAGUUGGAAACGACUGCUAAUCCCGCAUACUGAAGGCGGGGCUUGCGUCUGAUUAGCUAGUUGGAGGGGUAACGGCCCACCAAGGCGAUGAUCAGUAGCCGGUCUGAGAGGAGGAACGGCCACAGUGGGACUGGGACACGGCCCAGACUCCUACGGGAGGCAGCAGUGGGGAAUCUUCCGCAAUGGACGAAAGUCUGACGGAGCAACGCCGCGUGAGUGAGGACGGCCUUCGGGUUGUAAAGCUCUGUUAAUCGGGACGCGGUACCGGAAUAGAAAGCCACGGCUAACUACGUGCCAGCAGCCGCGGUAAUUC